RNAcentral lists this ribosomal RNA (532 nucleotides) under uncultured bacterium. Its description in RNAcentral is "bacterial SSU rRNA". It matches the Rfam family "Bacterial small subunit ribosomal RNA", at positions 979 to 1509 of the family's 1533-position model. The record is from RNAcentral.
CCUUGACAUACUAAGAACUUUCCAGAGAUUGGAUUGGUGCCUUCGGGAACUUAGAUACAGGUGCUGCAUGGCUGUCGUCAGCUCGUGUCGUGAGAUGUUGGGUUAAGUCCCGCAACGAGCGCAACCCUUUUCCUUAUUUGCCAGCGGGUCAUGCCGGGAACUUUAAGGAUACUGCCAGUGACAAACUGGAGGAAGGCGGGGACGACGUCAAGUCAUCAUGGCCCUUACGGCCAGGGCUACACACGUGCUACAAUGGUCGGUACAAAGGGUUGCUACCUCGCGAGAGGAUGCUAAUCUCAAAAAGCCGAUCGUAGUCCGGAUCGCAGUCUGCAACUCGACUGCGUGAAGUCGGAAUCGCUAGUAAUCGCGGAUCAGAAUGCCGCGGUGAAUACGUUCCCGGGCCUUGUACACACCGCCCGUCACACCAUGGGAGUUUGUUGCACCAGAAGUAGGUAGUCUAACCGCAAGGAGGACGCUUACCACGGUGUGGCCGAUGACUGGGGUGAAGUCGUAACAAGGUAGGCGUAGAUGA